Non-coding RNA from Odocoileus virginianus texanus, 1761 nucleotides. The record is from RefSeq and is a predicted model, not a curated record. Lineage: Eukaryota; Metazoa; Chordata; Mammalia; Artiodactyla; Cervidae.
CUUUAGCCCCCCCGUUGUACAGAGAGAAAAAGAAAACUCCUAGCAGGUGUGACCUCUUGCCCACGGCCACCUGGAUGCUUACCUGUCUUCCGCCAGCCCCGCCUCCGCCUUCUCUUCAGACCUGGGCAGGACGUACUCCGGCUGCGGCCUUGCGCUGGGAACAGAAAGAGACCCUACAGAGAUCUGCUCUGCCCUGCCAUGGGGAGUGCUUAGAAAUCAAACAACAUCCUUUCACAGCAGCGGUUAAUGGAACCAUCCAGCUCGGAGGUCAAGGGCAGACACUUGGACAUUGGACAGUCCUGGGUUCAGAGCCUGACCUUGCUACCCACCAGCUCUGCGACCCUGCAAUGCCACCUUGCCCUGAGCUUGAUUCAGUUUUACCAUCUGCAAAAUGAGACUCACAGGAGAUGGAGAGUAACUUCUUCUCUGUAAGCAUGAGUUGGGCACGGUGACUUCCUUCCAAAGGGGACAGUAUGGGAAGAAGGGAGGCGUGACUCUACAGUGGAGACACCUGACCAGCACGACCUCAGCCCGGGGAUGCAGGUCAACACCAAGGAAGAGUCGUGCUGAUGACAGGCACCCCAAGAUGAUGGAUGAGACGGCCCCUCACCUGUGUCCUCCUCUCCACACCCAGCGCCCCAGUGUCACCGUGAGAAAAACACCAGAUAAACUCCCAUAGAGGGAAGUUCUACAAAAUCUCUGACCCCAGUCCUCCUCAAAGCUGUCAAGGGCAACAACAACAAGGAAAGUCUGUGAUGGACCUCCCUGGAGGUCCAGUGGUUAAGACUUCACCUACCAAUGCAGGGGGCAAGGGUUCGAUCCCUGGGGAGCUAAGAUCCCACAUGCCUCCUGGCUAGAAAACCAGAACUUAAAGCAGAAGCAGUGUUGUAACAAAUUCAAUAAAGAAUUUUAAAAUGGUCUACAUCAAAAAAUCUUUUUCUUUUUUAAAGUCUGAGAAAUGGUCACAGCCCAGAGAAACCUAAGGAGACAUCAUGACUAAAUGUUACAUGGGAUCUUGGGUAGGAUCCUAGGAAAGAAAAAGAAUAUUAGGAGAAAAUUACUAUGGAUAUCACAGUAAAUUGUGGACUUUGGUCAAUAAUGACAUAUCAAUACCAUUCUAUUAAUUGUAAUAUAGAUAUCAGUCUCAUGUAAGAUGUUAAUUAUAGGAGUGGUGUGUUUGGAAGUUUUCUGUAAUAUUCUUGCAACUUUUCUGUAAAUCUAAAGCUACUAAAAAGUAAAAUUUUAAAAACAGAAAGGCAGCCAGUUAUGCAUCUGUGCCCCUUUAAUUGAUGGAGCACGAAUUUGCAAAAUAAGACCUGCUUUUCCUGGCAAUGCCCAGACUGUCUUUUGGACCACAGCUCCCUCUGCCUGAUUCUGACCCACGUGCUCCAGCUCCUUUGCUCCCCAGGACUCAGGCAGAAGGGUUUGCAGAGUGCACGGGGCUGUCAGGGGCUCCAGUGCAGGGCCUGCUGACUCAGGGAGGCACUGCAGCGGUAAUUCAUCUCUACAACUCAGCAGUGCCAGCUCAGCUAAACGGGGAGCUGUUUUGACGGAGAAGGACAGUAGGGGUUUUUUUUUUUCCUUUUCGAAUUGUGGUGCUGAAGAAGACUCUUGAGUCCCUUGUCAAUCCUAAAGGAAAUCAACCCUGAAUAUUCAUUGGAAGGACUGAUGCUGAAGCUGAAGCUCCAAUACUUUGGCUGGCGAAGAGCCGGCUCAUUGGAAAAGACCCUGAUGCUGGGAAAGAUUGAGGGCAAGAGAAGG